Molecule: ribosomal RNA, 492 nt
Filed under: uncultured bacterium
Lineage: Bacteria
Description: partial 16S ribosomal RNA
Rfam family: Bacterial small subunit ribosomal RNA
Source: RNAcentral
AGUGAGCGCUGGCGGUAGGCCUAACACAUGCAAGUCGAACGGCAGCACAGUAAGAGCUUGCUCUUACGGGUGGCGAGUGGCGGACGGGUGAGGAAUACAUCGGAAUCUACUUUUUCGUGGGGGAUAACGUAGGGAAACUUACGCUAAUACCGCAUACGACCUACGGGUGAAAGCAGGGGAUCUUCGGACCUUGAGCGAUUGAAUGAGCCGAUGUCGGAUUAGCUAGUUGGCGGGGUAAAGGCCCACCAAGGCGACGAUCCGUAGCUGGUCUGAGAGGAUGAUCAGCCACACUGGAACUGAGACACGGUCCAGACUCCUACGGGAGGCAGCAGUGGGGAAUAUUGGACAAUGGGCGCAAGCCUGAUCCAGCCAUACCGCGUGGGUGAAGAAGGCCUUCGGGUUGUAAAGCCCUUUUGUUGGGAAAGAAAAGCAGCAGGUUAAUACCCCGCUGUUCUGACGGUACCCAAAGAAUAAGCACCGGCUAACUUCGUG